AAUAAUCUUAACAUAGAGCUCUGAUUGAGAGAGGAGGUAAAGCCACACCGCCGGCUUCCUGGGAUACCAGCCUUGCAGCUGAAGAAACUACCGACGUUACAAUGAUCAAUUCAAAGAAGGGUUGGGGAGAUUUUUUUUCUUCGCAACUCCGCAGACCGCCGAGCAACGCAGUCCGGUAACGGGAGCUACCGGUACUGAAAGUAACACUAGUUGCCUUCGUUACAGACGUUUGGGGACAGAUGAUGAUGCUUCGUUAAUCCUACAUGUAUCGCGCUAAGCCAACUUAAGCUCUCAUCCGCUUCUUUGCUGAACGCGGGAGCUUAUUAGCGAUA
Actinia tenebrosa (Australian red waratah sea anemone) is the source of this 332-nucleotide long non-coding RNA. NCBI's taxonomy places the organism in Eukaryota, Metazoa, Cnidaria, Anthozoa, Actiniaria, Actiniidae. The record is from RefSeq and is a predicted model, not a curated record.